UGGGUUGUGGCUCAGUGGUGGAGCGCUUGCCUAGCAUGUGAGGCACUGGGUUUCAUUCCCAGCACCACAU
RNAcentral lists this transfer RNA (70 nucleotides) under Marmota marmota marmota (Alpine marmot). It matches the Rfam family "tRNA". From Rfam's summary of the family: Transfer RNA (tRNA) molecules are approximately 80 nucleotides in length. Their secondary structure includes four short double-helical elements and three loops (D, anti-codon, and T loops). Further hydrogen bonds mediate the characteristic L-shaped molecular structure. tRNAs have two regions of fundamental functional importance: the anti-codon, which is responsible for specific mRNA codon recognition, and the 3' end, to which the tRNAs corresponding amino acid is attached (by aminoacyl-tRNA synthetases). tRNAs cope with the degeneracy of the genetic code in two manners: having more than one tRNA (with a specific anti-codon) for a particular amino acid; and 'wobble' base-pairing, i.e. permitting non-standard base-pairing at the 3rd anti-codon position. The record is from Rfam by way of RNAcentral. Lineage: Eukaryota; Metazoa; Chordata; Mammalia; Rodentia; Sciuridae. RNAcentral also lists the same sequence under 1 other name.